GACGGAGGGUGCAAACGUUGUUCGGAAUCACUGGGCGUAAAGGGCGCGCAGGCGGACUCGUAAGUCAGGAGUGAAAACUCGGGGCUCGACCCCGAGCCUGCUUCUGAAACUGCAAGUCUUGAGGACCGGAGAGGAAAGUGGAAUUCCCAGUGUAGCGGUGGAAUGCGUAGAUAUUGGGAAGAACACCAGUGGCGAAGGCGACUUUCUGGACGGUUCCUGACGCUGAGGCGCGAAAGCGUGGGGAGCAAACAGG
Molecule: unclassified non-coding RNA, 253 nt
Filed under: uncultured Gemmatimonadota bacterium
Lineage: Bacteria; Pseudomonadati; Gemmatimonadota
Description: uncultured Gemmatimonadetes bacterium contains 16S-23S intergenic spacer region
Rfam family: Bacterial small subunit ribosomal RNA
Source: RNAcentral